GUCCAGGGGCGGGAAUCGAACCCACAACGUUCCGCUUACCGGGCAGAUGCCAUGUCCACUAAGCUACCCUGGA
RNAcentral lists this transfer RNA (73 nucleotides) under Cordylochernes scorpioides. RNAcentral describes it as "tRNA-Thr". The record is from RNAcentral. Lineage: Eukaryota; Metazoa; Arthropoda; Arachnida; Pseudoscorpiones; Chernetidae.